CCUACGGGAGGCAGCAGUGAGGAAUAUUGGUCAAUGGACGGAAGUCUGAACCAGCCAUGCCGCGUGCAGGAUGACGGCUCUAUGAGUUGUAAACUGCUUUUGUACAAGGGUAAACCUGAACACGUGUAUUCAGCUGAAAGUACUGUACGAAUAAGGAUCGGCUAACUCCGUUCCAGCAGCCGCGGUAAUACGGAGGAUCCAAGCGUUAUCCGGAUUUAUUGGGUUUAAAGGGUGCGUAGGCGGUUUGAUAAGUUAGAGGUGAAAUGUCCGGGCUUAACUCGUGAACUGCCUCUAAUACUGUUGAUCUAGAGAGUAGAUGCGGUAGGCGGAAUGUAUGGUGUAGCGGUGAAAUGCUUAGAGAUCAUACAGAACUCCGAUUGCGAAGGCAGCUUACCAAUCUGUAUCUGACGUUGAGGCACGAAAGUGUGGGUAGCAAACAGGAUUAGAUACCCGUGUAGUC
This 460-nucleotide ribosomal RNA is filed under the name uncultured bacterium. RNAcentral's name for it is "partial 16S ribosomal RNA". It matches the Rfam family "Bacterial small subunit ribosomal RNA", at positions 338 to 795 of the family's 1533-position model. The record is from RNAcentral.